Fundulus heteroclitus (mummichog) is the source of this 69-nucleotide small nucleolar RNA. The record is from Ensembl. Lineage: Eukaryota; Metazoa; Chordata; Actinopteri; Cyprinodontiformes; Fundulidae.
UUUCCAUGAUGAGAACUUUGUCAGUUCUGCUACUGAGUGCAAGUGGUGACUUCAAAGACUCUGAGGAAG